GUUAAUACAAACUCCAACAAGAGUCUCUCUCUCUCUCUCAGAGAAGAAACAUAAAACAAAUUACCAAGAUGAUGAUGAUGAAGACGAAGAGAAAUAAAGGAGAACUACUAUGUACGCACACACGGCAACCACUAUAUUCAUACGUCGUUACCGUUAAUGAAUUCGAGGAGAUGCAAUAGAGAGGCUACUUCGGUGUUUCGCCGGAAGAAUAAAAAGUUUGCAUGAGUCGUCGGCGUACAUGGGAAAGCCAGGCAUUUCUUUAUUUAUAAUUUCUCUCUAUUUAAUCUUCAAUAUGUAUUUUUUUUAAUUAAAUAGGUCGAAUAAUUCAGAUUCUAUCGUAAUCAACCC
RNAcentral lists this long non-coding RNA (348 nucleotides) under Brassica rapa subsp. chinensis. RNAcentral's name for it is "bra-eTM160-2-1". The record is from RNAcentral. Lineage: Eukaryota; Viridiplantae; Streptophyta; Magnoliopsida; Brassicales; Brassicaceae.